RNAcentral lists this ribosomal RNA (468 nucleotides) under uncultured bacterium. Its description in RNAcentral is "partial 16S ribosomal RNA". It matches the Rfam family "Bacterial small subunit ribosomal RNA", at positions 28 to 507 of the family's 1533-position model. The record is from RNAcentral.
GACGAACGCUGGCGGCGUGCUUAACACAUGCAAGUCGAACGGAAAGGCCCUGCUUUUGUGGGGUGCUCGAGUGGCGAACGGGUGAGUAACACGUGAGUAACCUGCCCUUGACUUUGGGAUAACUUCAGGAAACUGGGGCUAAUACCGGAUAGGAGCUCCUGCUGCAUGGUGGGGGUUGGAAAGUUUCGGCGGUUGGGGAUGGACUCGCGGCUUAUCAGCUUGUUGGUGGGGUAGUGGCUUACCAAGGCUUUGACGGGUAGCCGGCCUGAGAGGGUGACCGGCCACAUUGGGACUGAGAUACGGCCCAGACUCCUACGGGAGGCAGCAGUGGGGAAUAUUGCACAAUGGGCGGAGGCCUGAUGCAGCAACGCCGCGUGCGGGAUGACGGCCUUCGGGUUGUAAACCGCUUUCGCCUGUGACGAAGCGUGGGUGACGGUAAUGGGUAAAGAAGCACCGGCUAACUACGUG